AUUCCUGUUAACAUCAGUUCUUUUCUUCGACAUUAAGCAGACUGCACUCUGUUGACGCGCCCUUCUUGCAACUCGCAAUACCACAAACAGUCAAGCACAAAGAUGGACAUCCGUGAAUCAAUCGGGAACCAGAACGCUGUCGCUUUGGGCUUCUCCAAGCAUGUGCUCUUAACCGAAGCCAACACCUCUAAUUCAGUCUUGUCGCCGCUGUCGAUCCAGGUGGUACUCGGCCUUAUUGCUGCUGGCUCUAAGGGUUCUACACUCGAUCAAUUGCUCUCUUUCCUGAAGUCCAAGUCCAAUAAUCAGUUCAGUUCUUUCUCCUCCGAUCUAGUUUCUGUGGUUUUUGCGGACGGAAGUGCCGCCGGUGGGCCACGCUUGUCGUUUGCCAAUGGUGUUUGGGUGGACAGUUCUCUCUCUCUUAAGCCCUCUUUCAAACAGGUUGUGGACAAUGUGUACAAGGCUGCUUCUAAUCAAGUUGAUUUCCA
This 485-nucleotide unclassified non-coding RNA is filed under the name Hevea brasiliensis (rubber tree). The record is from RNAcentral. Lineage: Eukaryota; Viridiplantae; Streptophyta; Magnoliopsida; Malpighiales; Euphorbiaceae.